UAUGAAGGGUGCAAGCGUUACUCGGAAUUACUGGGCGUAAAGCGUGCGUAGGUGGUUUGUUAAGUCAGAUGUGAAAGCCCUGGGCUCAACCUGGGAACUGCAUUUGAUACUGGGCUAGAGUGCGGUAGAGGGUAGCGGAAUUCCCGGUGUAGCGGUGAAAUGCGUAGAGAUCGGGAGGAAUACCAGUGGCGAAGGCGGCCUUCUGGACUGACACUGACGCUGAGGUGCGAAAGCGUGGGUAGCAAACAGG
Molecule: unclassified non-coding RNA, 250 nt
Filed under: uncultured Gammaproteobacteria bacterium
Lineage: Bacteria; Pseudomonadati; Pseudomonadota; Gammaproteobacteria
Description: contains 16S-23S intergenic spacer region
Rfam family: Bacterial small subunit ribosomal RNA
Source: RNAcentral